ACCCAGCCACUGGUGGAGAGAUGACGCAGCUUGAAUAUCAUAAUUUCCUAAAGCCUGAUGAAGCUUUCUAGGAGAGUUAUGCACAGUAUAUGUUUUCUGCAGUUAUCCUUUUUCCCUGCUGGUUUCUUGGAUUGCCAUUUUGUAAAUAUCCAGGUGUAAAUGUAACCAGCAGUCUCAAACUGGUCACCAAUCCAUAACUAUUUUUGCAAAAACAAAUGUGAUGGGAAUCCUAUUAGUAAUCAUUAGGUUUUUUUUACUUUUCAAAUUGGAGUCUUAUAUUAGGAAAUAAAAUUAUGGUUUGAUUUGAUAGUUUUUUCGUAUUUUUCUACUUAAAUUAGGCUAGUUUAAAUAUUAUAUAAAUGGACUUAUGCAUUGUAAAAGUUAAGACAUUGAUAUGAAAUAAAUUGAUAUUCUCUCUCUCUUAAUUCGCUAUUAUUUUUACUUCUUUUUCGUCGUCCUCUCCCUCUUUUUCUCAAUCUAAUUCUAUAUGAGUGUGUUCUACGUCGAUGUGUGUAAAAUGGAUUGAAAAGAAUUGUUGAAUUUUUGGAGUUUUGGAUUGUUACUUUUCGUUUGCAUUUUUCAAAAUUUAAAACUGAA
RNAcentral lists this long non-coding RNA (597 nucleotides) under Olea europaea subsp. europaea. The record is from RNAcentral. Lineage: Eukaryota; Viridiplantae; Streptophyta; Magnoliopsida; Lamiales; Oleaceae.